This 465-nucleotide ribosomal RNA is filed under the name uncultured Klebsiella sp. Its description in RNAcentral is "bacterial SSU rRNA". It matches the Rfam family "Bacterial small subunit ribosomal RNA", at positions 338 to 795 of the family's 1533-position model. Lineage: Bacteria; Pseudomonadati; Pseudomonadota; Gammaproteobacteria; Enterobacterales; Enterobacteriaceae. The record is from RNAcentral.
CCUACGGGGUGCUGCAGUGGGGAAUAUUGCACAAUGGGCGCAAGCCUGAUGCAGCCAUGCCGCGUGUGUGAAGAAGGCCUUCGGGUUGUAAAGCACUUUCAGCGGGGAGGAAGGCGUUAAGGUUAAUAACCUUGUCGAUUGACGCUACCCGCAGAAGAAGCACCGGCUAACUCCGUGCCAGCAGCCGCGGUAAUACGGAGGGUGCAAGCGUUAAUCGGAAUUACUGGGCGUAAAGCGCACGCAGGCGGUCUGUCAAGUCGGAUGUGAAAUCCCCGGGCUCAACCUGGGAACUGCAUUCGAAACUGGCAGGCUAGAGUCUUGUAGAGGGGGGUAGAAUUCCAGGUGUAGCGGUGAAAUGCGUAGAGAUCUGGAGGAAUACCGGUGGCGAAGGCGGCCCCCUGGACAAAGACUGACGCUCAGGUGCGAAAGCGUGGGGAGCAAACAGGAUUAGAUACCCGUGUAGUC